Molecule: ribosomal RNA, 478 nt
Filed under: uncultured bacterium
Lineage: Bacteria
Description: bacterial SSU rRNA
Rfam family: Bacterial small subunit ribosomal RNA
Source: RNAcentral
AUGAACGCUAGCGGCUAGGCUUAACACAUGCAAGUCGAGGGGUAUGCCGAUUUAUCGGCAGAGACCGGCGCACGGUGCGUAACGCGUAUGCAAUCUACCUUUCACAGAGGGAUAGCCCAGAGAAAUUUGGAUUAAUACCUCAUAGUAUAGCAGUUUCGCAUGAAACCACUAUUAAAGUUCCAACGGUGAAAGAUGAGCAUGCGUCCCAUUAGCUAGAUGGUAAGGUAACGGCUUACCAUGGCUACGAUGGGUAGGGGUCCUGAGAGGGAGAUCCCCCACACUGGUACUGAGACACGGACCAGACUCCCUACGGGAGGCAGCAGUGAGGAAUAUUGGUCAAUGGACGCAAGUCUGAACCAGCCAUGCCGCGUGCAGGAUGACGGUCCUAUGGAUUGUAAACUGCUUUUGUACGAGAAGAAACAACAUUACGUGUAAUGUCUUGACGGUAUCGUAAGAAUAAGGAUCGGCUAACUCCGUG